UGCCAGACUCCUACGGGAGGCAGCAGUGAGGAAUAUUGGUCAAUGGGCGUAAGCCUGAACCAGCCAAGUCGCGUGAGGGAUGAAGGAUCUAUGGUUCGUAAACCUCUUUUAUAAGGGAAUAAAGUGCGGGACGCGUCCCGCUUCGCAUGUACCUUAUGAAUAAGGAUCGGCUAACUCCGUGCCAGCAGCCGCGGUAAUACGGAGGAUCCGAGCGUUAUCCGGAUUUAUUGGGUUUAAAGGGUGCGCAGGCGGAUUUUUAAGUCAGCGGUCAAAUCGUGGGGCUCAACCCCAUCCCACCGUUGAAACUGGGGAUCUAGAGUGUGCGAGAGGUAUGCGGAAUGCGUGGUGUAGCGGUGAAAUGCAUAGAUAUCACGCAGAACCCCGAUUGCGAAGGCAGCAUACCGGUGCACGACUGACGCUCAGGCACGAAAGCGUGGGUAUCGAACAGGAUUAGAUACCCUGGUA
Molecule: ribosomal RNA, 465 nt
Filed under: uncultured bacterium
Lineage: Bacteria
Description: bacterial SSU rRNA
Rfam family: Bacterial small subunit ribosomal RNA
Source: RNAcentral